CUGGGGANUAGAUACCCCACUAUGCUCAACCUUAAAAUGGAUAUUCCCGCCAGAGCAUUACGAGCUACAGCUUAAAACUCAAAGGACUUGGCGGUGCUCUAUACCCACCUAGAGGAGCCUGUUCUAUAAUCGACAUCCCCCGAUAAACCUCACCAUUUCUCGCCACUACAGCCUAUAUACCACCGCCCUCAGUUCAUCUUUCAAAAGAAUAAUAAUGAACAAAAUGAUUAAAAAUAAAAAAGUCAGGUCAAGGUGUAGCAAAUGAAAUGGAAAGAAAUGGGCUACAUUUUUUAUAAUUAAAAAACACGGAAUAUUAUAUGAAAUAAAAUAUAAAGGAGGAUUUAGAAGUAAAAAGAAAAAAGAGUGUUCUUUUUAAAUUGGCAAUAGAGCACGCACACACCGCCCGUCACCCUUUUCAAAACAUAUAAAACUUAAAUAAAUAUAUAAACUUAUAAGAAAAGGUAAGUCGUAACAUGGUAAGUCUACCGGAAGGUGGCCUUGGAUAUCAAAAUAUAGCUUAAAUAAAGCACUUUGCUUACACCAAAAAAAUAUUUGCUAAGCCAAAUUAUUUUGAAUCUUAAAUCUAGCCUAAAUAUAUAUAUACACUAAUUCCUAAUACACAAAACAUUAUCAUAUGAUAGUAAGGGCGACAGAAAAAAU
This 660-nucleotide ribosomal RNA is filed under the name Desmognathus fuscus (dusky salamander). RNAcentral describes it as "partial small subunit ribosomal RNA". The record is from RNAcentral. Lineage: Eukaryota; Metazoa; Chordata; Amphibia; Caudata; Plethodontidae.